RNAcentral lists this unclassified non-coding RNA (292 nucleotides) under uncultured fungus. RNAcentral's name for it is "partial contains 5.8S ribosomal RNA, internal transcribed spacer 2, and large subunit ribosomal RNA". Lineage: Eukaryota; Fungi. The record is from RNAcentral.
AACGCACAUUGCGCCCGCCAGCACUCUGGCGGGCAUGCCUGUCCGAGCGUCACCUCGACCCUCGAGCGCCCCCGCCUUCGCGGGGGACGCCCGGCGUUGGGGGAACGGCGCGCGCCCACGGGCGCGGCCGCCCCCCGAAAUACAGUGGCGACCCCGCCGCGCCUCCCACUGCGUAGUAGCGACCCCCAGGGGAAACCUCGCACCGGGAGCGCGGAGGCCGCGGUCACGCCGUAAAACGCCCAACCCUUCUGAAGUUGACCUCGGAUCAGGUAGGAAUACCCGCUGAACUUAA